AUGGUGCAUGGAGCUGAGUCCUUGUGAAGGAUCUUUGUAUGUUUUCUUGGGAUGCAGAAACAGAGACUGGGAGUAGCCCCCAUUCCUUCCAUCCUUUUUGUCUCUAUGUUCCCCCUUGUUUCAGAGAAUCAGGACUACCUGAGGGUCACUAAAGCCUUCUUGUUUAGAGCUCUUACAACCCACAAGACUCCUUUUGCCAUUUCUUCCCUUCUCCCGGGCCCUUCUUCCACUUUAAAUUCCCUGCCUGCCAGGAGAUACCUCAUGUUUUUCAGCAAGGCUUUGCUUUGGGCUAGCACUGACAGCAAGCCUGUGAUAUUCAAAACCUCCCAAGGGGCCUGGAUGUUAUUUCGUGGGGAGUCUCUAUUACUCAGGAUCUAUAACAGCCCAGCCCAAGACCUACAUAUUUUAUUAUUAUUAUUAUUAUUUAUUUAUUUAUAGGAAAUGAAACGAUUUUCUGGUGCUGUGUGAAGCUCAGGCAGGUGGGGAAAUGGGGCUGGGACUUGCUUGCCAUGCAGGGUGCGUGUAACCCUGCAACCCUGGUGUCCACGUGGCAAACCAGUAGCCAUCCCCUCGAGGCUGAAGCUGAACAAGCAUUCAGCAACUUUAGUGAGUAUUCGAAACUCUUGGACCAGCUGAAUUAAUGUGGUAUUUCAACCUUCCCUCCCCCCUCAAGCUCAUGCAUGCGGUUUCUGGUACUCGUUGUGCCCUGUGCUGAUGGAACACAGCAAGCAGGCAAAGCAUCACGCCGUGACAAGGUCACAGAAAGCCAAGGUGAGCCCCACGCUUUUACAUAAGUGAAAUUCAAAUUUAGUUUAAAAAAUAAAAAUAAAAAAGGGCCAGGGUUGGAGAAUACUUCUGUUCUUUUUCUCUGUCUUGUUUGUCUCACUAUACUCAUUAUUCUGCUUUCCUACAUGACAUCUGUAGGAGUCCAGCUCCUAUCCCAGGGGCACAGCAAAUCUUUCCUGGCAUGAUACAGAAACACUGUUGGAGGACUCUUUAAGCCAGAUGGAAUUGGUUCAGUUUGAAAUAAGUCUGAGGAAUAACGCUGUUCGGUUAGCAUUAAAAACAAAAACGAAACAAAACCCAAAACUUUUGUCCUUUGCUAUCAAUAGCUCUGUCCCUUUCUCAAAUACCACUGCAGGAUUUCCAUGCUGUAUGCAAGGCUCUCCCUUACACAUGGGGAAAAUUAAAUUCUUCUAGUAAGAAGUGUAUUUUAUUCCACUUGUGUCCUCAGACUUACUCUAAGAAUGAAUGUCGUGAACAGUGUAUGCUGUGGGGUUCAAGGGGUCAGUCUGAAAUGCCACACAGGUGCAGGUAAUUGGGUCCAGGGUUAAAGGAGUGUCCGCCCCUGAUGCUCACUCCUUCCUGAGCUCCCUUCGUGUCCCACCGGGGCUAGAAUUAGAAGGGUUCCUUGCUUAGCUGAAGAACAUGCAGCCCAUGGCUACAGCGUUCCAGCUAAAGUUUUACCCAAACCAGUGGCAUAGUGCAAAACAACUGAUCAGUGGUUUGCAUCACAUCAGAGCUGUGAACCCAAGUGGCCAAAACUUGCUCACACAGCUUGUUUUGCUGCUUUUCCUGGGAGAAAAAUAAUUUUCGAUAGGGUGGCAGCUGGGGGAGGGAAUACCUCGAAGCCUUGCAUCUACAUCACUCAGCCUUCGGCUUUAAUCAAGUCCUCCAAGGGGCUGAGACGAAAGUUAAAACAGCUGGAGCCACAGUUCCGGUGGUAUUCCUGAAGGUAAUUAAGCUCUCAUUUGCAGGAUUUGAAAAGUGCCUAACUAUAUCCUCUGAUAAUUUCAAAAAUUUGGCCACGGUGUCCAUUGCAGAUGAAGGAAAACCUUUUUUUUUUUUUUUUUUUCUUUUUUUGCCCCAAACCUAGCUGGUCCUAAAAUGAGAACAACCCCCAUGACAAGUUUGCAUUUGAGGGGAAAAAAAAGAAAUGCAUAAUUCAAUUAUUGCAGGAAAAUACAGUCCUUGGCAUCACUUUCUUCUGGGAAACAGCACCUGAAAGGCCCCAGAGAUGCUUUUGUGCAGAAAGAUGCUGCCAUAGCGAUGAACAAUGGCUUGUAGGGAAACAAGUCUGAGAGACAAGGCUUCAAAUUACCCUGCAUCUUAGUGCGAAGGAAAACAAAAAGUAGCCUCAGGUAUUUCUGAAAAGAAAAAAAAAAAAAAAAGGAAAUAUAGCGAUAGGGAAGGUGGGAGUUGGAGAUGAGGGCUAUGAAAUGCACUUAUUUCAAUCUUGUGAAGUACCAUAGCAUAUCAAAACACUUCAUUGAAAAUCAGGAGAGAUGGAUUUUGACACAAAUGUGUCUUCUGAAUCAUCCAGAUGCACUUCUCCCUGCCGACAUUAUUCAUAGGUGAACUUUGAGAAGUGCUGGCCUCAUCAAAAUGGAAAACCAGAUCACUCCUUCCCAGCUCCAGACAAGCUGAGCUCUGAAGCAAAAUAUAUGCUUAGAUGCAGGAAUAUGAACUUUGAUGAACUUAUAGGACUGGAUGGACCUCCAGAGACCAGCUACUGAUUUAUUUGUAUUUUUUUUCUAAGAGUCUGUGUGGCUUUACAAGGAAAAUGUAAUUUUGUGUUACUGAAAUAUAAUAAAUCUCUUUGUAUUUCACGCAGGCCCUGGCUUUACCAGCUACUAUUGCAGAAAUAACUAGAGUGCUUGUAGCUGAGAAUUUAAAUGGAAGAUGAGUUGUAACCAUUCAGCAAACUCAGCUUUUCUUUCAUGCAGCGUAUGAGAUAUAGCUAGAACAGAGGCAGAGCUCUCUUCUAAUCUCACCAGGAGUCACGUUUUAACCUGUAAAACCAAGUUAUUCCCAACACACUAACUGUGCAGUUUCUGGUGGUGUCAGGCCAGGCUUUCAGCUUCUUAAUUUUCUCCUUCUGUUUUCCAAAUGGGAAUCUUCUGUGGAGCUACAACCGAAUGUGACCUACACCAAAAGUGAUCAAAAUGCUGCUGUGCUGCUCCAGUGGCGGAGAGGAUUGAGGGAGGGAACUGAGGAGAUGGAGAUCGAAUCAUCAGGAGCUUCAACACCAUCUAAAGCUACCCUGGCCUAAGGGGACAGCCACCUAGAUGAAAGAAAACACAGAUGAACACAGUGAUUGUUCCAAGCGAGCUGCAAGGAAUAGAUAUCAGCCAAGUGUCUAAGAUGAGGAACUCAACAGUUCCAUUUCCAGUCCGAGAGAGGAAUGAGAAAGGACUGGGCAGCCUCGCCAUACAAGCAAUCCAGCUGCACCAGAGCCACAGCAAGACUUGCAAGGCGUUGUUUUGAAGUGCUGCUGGCUCUUCCUACAGUUCAUCACGGAUCUUGUUAGGAAAUGAAGGAGAGGAAACUGGGCAACCGCGCUGCUGGGCCACGAGGAAACACACAAUGAGCAUAAUGAAGCCAGCAGCUGCAGGACAAUGGGAGCAGGCUGGGGCUAUUUUUGUUAGAUGGGAACAAUCAAUCGAACGUGUUUCUUUUGGAAGUCUUUGAUGGCUUCCUCUGAGUGCGGCUAUAUUGUCUUGCUGUGACAGAGUGAUUUGCAGCUGGGUCACGCUCGGCAUCAGGAAACCUGGAACAGUGUUCACCAGCAUUUAUGAGUAGGUCACGGCUGCUUUGGGGAGGCAAAACCUGGCAGAGUUUCUGCAUCGCUGUGUUACGCUAGAGCUUGGCCACCAGACCAGAUCUCGGAGUGAACUGUUUUGGACUGGAUUCCAUGGCAGCGAACAACCAGG
Anas platyrhynchos (mallard) is the source of this 3713-nucleotide non-coding RNA. The record is from RefSeq and is a predicted model, not a curated record. NCBI's taxonomy places the organism in Eukaryota, Metazoa, Chordata, Aves, Anseriformes, Anatidae.